ACUCCUACGGGAGGCAGCAGUGGGGAAUAUUGGACAAUGGGCGAAAGCCUGAUCCAGCCAUGCCGCGUGUGUGAAGAAGGUCUUCGGAUUGUAAAGCACUUUAAGUUGGGAGGAAGGGUUGUAGAUUAAUACUCUGCAAUUUUGACGUUACCGACAGAAUAAGCACCGGCUAACUCUGUGCUAGCAGCCGCGGUAAUACAGAGGGUGCAAGCGUUAAUCGGAAUUACUGGGCGUAAAGCGCGCGUAGGUGGUUCGUUAAGUUGGAUGUGAAAUCCCCGGGGCUCAACCUGGGAACUGCAUCCAAAACUGGCGAGCUAGAGUAUGGUAGAGGGUGGUGGAAUUUCCUGUGUAGCGGUGAAAUGCGUAGAUAUAGGAAGGAACACCAGUGGCGAAGGCGACCACCUGGACUGAUACUGACACUGAGGUGCGAAAGCGUGGGGAGCGAAACAGGAUUAGAUACCCUGGUAGGUCAGUC
RNAcentral lists this ribosomal RNA (475 nucleotides) under uncultured bacterium. RNAcentral describes it as "bacterial SSU rRNA". It matches the Rfam family "Bacterial small subunit ribosomal RNA", at positions 335 to 800 of the family's 1533-position model. The record is from RNAcentral.